UACGGAGGGUGCAAGCGUUAAUCGGAAUUACUGGGCGUAAAGCGUGCGCAGGCGGUUUGUUAAGUCCGCUGUGAAAUCCCCGAGCUCAACUUGGGAAUUGCAGUGGAUACUGGCAAGCUGGAGUAUGGUAGAGGAAGGUGGAAUUCCCGGUGUAGCAGUGAAAUGCGUAGAUAUCGGGAGGAACACCUGUGGCGAAAGCGGCUCACUGGACCACAACUGACGCUGAGGCGCGAAAGCUAGGGGAGCAAACAGG
RNAcentral lists this ribosomal RNA (253 nucleotides) under uncultured bacterium. RNAcentral describes it as "partial 16S ribosomal RNA". It matches the Rfam family "Bacterial small subunit ribosomal RNA", at positions 524 to 776 of the family's 1533-position model. The record is from RNAcentral.